RNAcentral lists this ribosomal RNA (501 nucleotides) under uncultured bacterium. Its description in RNAcentral is "partial 16S ribosomal RNA". It matches the Rfam family "Bacterial small subunit ribosomal RNA", at positions 29 to 523 of the family's 1533-position model. The record is from RNAcentral.
AUUGAACGCUGGCGGCAUGCCUUACACAUGCAAGUCGAACGGCAGUACGGGUGCUUGCACCUGGUGGCGAGUGGCGAACGGGUGAGUAAUACAUCGGAACGUACCUUAUCGUGGGGGAUAACGCAGCGAAAGCUGUGCUAAUACCGCAUACGCCCUGAGGGGGAAAGCGGGGGAUCGCAAGACCUCGCGCGAUUAGAGCGGCCGAUGCCUGAUUAGCUAGUUGGUGGGGUAAAAGCCCACCAAGGCGACGAUCAGUAGCUGGUCUGAGAGGACGAUCAGCCACACGGGGACUGAGACACGGCCCAGACUCCGACGGGAGGAAGCAGUGGGGAAUUUUGGACAAUGGGGGCAACGCUGAUCAAGCAAUGCCGCGUGAGUGAAGAAGGCCUUCGGGUUGUAAAGCUCUUUUGUCAGGGAAGAAACACCGGCUCUAACACAGUCCGGGAAUGACGGUACCUGAAGAAUAAGCACCGGCUAACUACGUGCCAGCCGCCGCCGUAA